UCAAGUAAACAUUUUUGUUUCCACAGUGAUAAGCUUCUUUAUUUAGUUAAGAAUUACAUAUUAGAAUCUGCUAUGUAUGAAAGGACACACAUCUAAAUUAUAUAAGCGUAAGAAUAUUUUCAUCAAAUACUGAUUCAGCAUGUCUCUUCAGUUAUAUGUUGUAUAUGAGUUUAUUAUAAAAUGACUUCUCUUGAAUUUCUUUCUUAUUGAAGCUUAACCUUUAUGACAUCGCCAAAAAAUGUUGAGCCAUUCUUCAUAAGCUUAUCCAUUUCAGGCAUUAGCUAAAUGUCAUUUGGUGGCUUCUGUUACAUGAAUGUUGAAUCAGUAAGAGAAAUUAUCUGAAGUGGAUUUGAAGACUCUUCCUUUGAUUCUAGUGAAGAGAUCCUUUAAGACCCUGAGAAAACAUGUGGCAAUUCUCUGUGAAUUUGGAAAGGAAGCAUUCACCUAUGAAAGAAAAUGCUUCCAUCAGGUACUUCAAGGUUGAAGAGGCAGAGGACGAGUUAUCCACAAGGAAUUUGGAAGAGAAGCUUGUUUCAAAGUUGGAUGAGCCAUGAGAACAACUACCAAAUAAAUCAUUGUGUGGAAAAGAAUUGAUUUGGGAAUCAAUUGUCUGGGAAAGAAAAUCACAAAGAAGUGAUUGUGAAGACAUUCAUUUGUUCUUCAGAUAUGUAACUGUUUAAUCUGAAGUAAACUUUGGGAUGGAAAACUAUUAGGAACGUUUCUUGCUUAAUUUUGCCAUUGUACGCUCUGAUAUUGAUUGUUCAGGAUUAUUGAGCACACAUGCUGUAAUGAGAAUUGUAUAUAAUUUACUAUAUAUACUUACAUAUGAUAGACAUUAAAGGAUAUAUGUGUCUAGUAAUAGCAGAUGCAUGUUUCUGCCCACUAAAGAAAUGGUUGCAGCUUUUAAUAAAUAUGGCUAAGGGAAUGAUGUUAAGAUUACGUGUGUGUGUGUGUGUGUGUGUGUGUGUGUGCAUGCACAUAUUGUUCUGGAUUUCAAAUGAGUAUACAAAAUUAUCAUUAUCUUACACCACUUGCAUUGGGAUCUUCAGUUUUUCCUUCAAGAAGUGAAUUAUUAAUAAUAUAUUUAACUUUUAGAGUAUUAUUGUGGUAGGACUCGCCAGUUUCUUGCUACAACAUCUAUUCAUCCCUUUCUCUUUAGAAACAAACUAGAAUUUUUAUAUUGCUUCCCAUAAUAAAAAACAUAUUGCCUUCCAGAUUUUGCAGCUAAAUUUGGCUAUGGGACUAAAUUCUGGCCUUGAGUUGUUUAAGAGAGAUACUUGUGAGAGUUCUCUGAAGAUUGGUCAAAGGAAACUAACUCAGAUGGAAGAUCCAUUUGCCCUCCUGCCUUUCCUCUUAGCUUUUAGCCUGAAAAUCAGUGGUGAUGGCUGGAGAGCCAAUAGCCAUCUUGGAACACGACGUGAUUCUGAAGGUGGGAAGCAAGGCUGGGAUGGUACAGAAUAAAGAUAGGAACUUGGGUCCUUGAGAAAAUUGUGGAGCCACCAUAUCUACCUGUAAUUCCUACUUUCAGACCUUUUUCUAUGUGUGAGAGAUUUAUCUUAUUUAAGUCAUUGUUAUUUUUGUUGUUAAUACUGUUGUUGUUAAGCUAGCAUUCUAGUUGAGCCCAAGCUAGGACUCAGAGUCUGGUUAUAUCUGAUGAGCCCCUGGAUCAGCAUCCCUCAAUGCCAACUAUUAAAUGUAAUGGGUUAAUGAUGAAUGGAACUCUAUUUCACGUAACAAAGAACAACUUGUUAUGCCCAAAUAUUACGAGGUCAUAUUGCUCUUAUUUCUCUCUAACCUGAGAUUUGGGUCCGUGUUCUCUAUGAGAAAUUAGAAAUUUCUGUUGUGGUAUUCUGUUUUUGUGUUAGGAUCGUCACUGUAAAUCUACUUAAUAGUAAAAAUAAAAUCUUGCUUGGAAUUGUGAAUUAAAUGAAUUCUCCAUUGUGCAGAAACAGGAACAGCAUUAUAUUUUGUAUGUAAUACUCUUAAACAGUCAAUUCAUUUAUUCAAUUAAUAUUUUUGAGCUAUUAUGGGUUACAUAAGUUAUGGAGGGGCUUUGUUAUUUAGUCAACUCAUGUCCAAUAUCACAGGGGUCAGUUGUGAAUUUGGAAAAAAUAGAAGAAAAGAAAAAUUAAAGCAAAUGACAAAAGUCUAAAUAUUUUCCUCAAAUAAU
This 2170-nucleotide long non-coding RNA is filed under the name Homo sapiens (human). RNAcentral describes it as "HSALNT0313304". The record is from RNAcentral. Lineage: Eukaryota; Metazoa; Chordata; Mammalia; Primates; Hominidae.